CCUACGGGCGGCAGCAGUGGGGGAUAUUGCACAAUGGGGGAAACCCUGAUGCAGCGACGCCGCGUGUGGGAAGACGGUCCUCUGGAUUGUAAACCACUGUCCCCAGGGACGAAGAUGACGGUACCUGGGGAGGAAGCUCCGGCUAACUACGUGCCAGCAGCCGCGGUAAUACGUAGGGAGCGAGCGUUGUUCGGAAUUACUGGGGGAAAAGGGAGCGUAGGCGGGACUGCAAGUUGGGUGUCAAAUCUACCGGCUCAACCGGUAGCCGCACUCAAAACUGCAGUUCUUGAGUGAAGUAGAGGCAGGCGGAAUUCCUAGUGUAGCGGUGAAAUGCGUAGAUAUUAGGAGGAACACCAGUGGCGAAGGCGGCCUGCUGGGCUUUUACUGACGCUGAGGCUCGAAAGUGUGGGGAGCAAACAGGAUUAGAUACCCCAGUAGUC
Molecule: ribosomal RNA, 440 nt
Filed under: uncultured bacterium
Lineage: Bacteria
Description: partial 16S ribosomal RNA
Rfam family: Bacterial small subunit ribosomal RNA
Source: RNAcentral